Molecule: small RNA, 36 nt
Filed under: Bombyx mori (domestic silkworm)
Lineage: Eukaryota; Metazoa; Arthropoda; Insecta; Lepidoptera; Bombycidae
Description: ovarian small RNA-29085
Source: RNAcentral
UCGUAAGCAUCUGAAGAGUUCCGGAACAGCCGCAGU